CAUCCGCUUCAGGGUAUUGUGUAAUUCAUAACCGGUGGUAAUAGUCCACGAGCUGCCAGAUUGGUAAGCUGAUUCGGUGUAAGUCCGAAACCGACGGUAUAGUCCGGAUGAAAGAAGAUGAUG
Molecule: regulatory RNA element, 123 nt
Organism: Ruminococcus sp. CAG:403
Lineage: Bacteria; Bacillati; Bacillota; Clostridia; Eubacteriales; Oscillospiraceae
Rfam family: FMN riboswitch aptamer (RFN element)
About the family: The RFN element is a highly conserved domain that is found frequently in the 5'-untranslated regions of prokaryotic mRNAs that encode for flavin mononucleotide (FMN) biosynthesis and transport proteins. This element is a metabolite-dependent riboswitch that directly binds FMN in the absence of proteins.
Source: Rfam